CGUUGUGCAGCGUGUCGUCCGGCACGUGCUGGUCCACGUACAGCUGGGCCUCGCUGGCCUUGAGGAAGGCCAUGAAGCGCGCGGUGAAGGAGGCCACGAAGAUGGACAGCAUCCCGAAGUCCAGCAGGUUCCACAGAAAACGUGUCCUGAUUUCAAACAGCUCUUUUCAGAAUUGGGAUUUUCAGGAUUUCAGCACAGGACUGCUAUUCCCAACAAAAGAUGAACAACUAAGAUUUAGCGGGGAAUAGGUGGUACAUGGCUAUCCUGUCCUUCAAGCCUGCUCUAGCUGGUAACACCGACGAGGAGAGGAGAAAGCAAAACAGCACAUGGGCUUCCUGUGGAAUAGUGCUUCUGCAGAGAAAGAGCUUGUUCUAUCAGAAUGAAGCACCUCUGAAUCAUACAACACACACCAGUCUUCCUGUUCUCCAGCUCUGACCACGUCGAAUUUCUGUGACAGAAGAUGGAGGAACGGGAUAAAAGGCUUAUAGAUGUGGAGAUGUUGAAUGCAGAAGAGGAUGUUGGCAAGAAGAAGACGAGAGGAAAGAAGAGAAGAAAAACUGCUUUUGGGCCAGCUUGCAAAGCUAGAUCUGUGCAUUUCAAGUGAGUGUGUGCCCCAGGAGGGCAGGAGUGUCUUCUGCCUUGUACACCAGCUGGUGAAAAUAGAGUCCCUGGCUUGAGUCAGAAACUCAGUGAACACUCACUCCAUUAGUAGACAGCCCACACAUGAACGAAUUCCUACUGCACAGGUUUCCCAGACACGACAAGCUACAUGAAAUGUUCACUUAUUUUCCAGUUGCCUUCAUAUCCAAAGUUGUAAAAGUUUCAUCUUCCUGAACAGUUAACUGCUUUGUCAUUGUUUUUAGAAGGAUUAUGAAGGGGAGUCAUGAAAUACUCAUGGCACUCCUAAAAUUCAUCCUAGAGAUGAAAAAAAUCACUGCUUCAGUGUUCAUGGCCCUAAAACCAGCCUCGUGAACAGAAAGAGAGGGAAAAUCUAUCUUUUGAGUAAUGCUAUAUAACCGGCAAUUUUAAGAUCUCUUGGCCUGCACGGCAUGAAUGGCGAAUGGCAACGGGGCUGCCGAGUCCCAGAAAGGUGCUGGCCUUUGAGGGGUCAGGAAAGGCAAAAGUGAUCCGUGCGCACAUGAUGCAGGGAGUGAAGAAAUGCAGGGCAAGUGAGCAGUGAGCAAAAAUGCACCCCAGGGAAAGAGAACAGAAGAAAGGAUGAGGACACAGAUGGGUAAGAUACUCACCCACAGGCACAAACAGCGCCUCACAGACACAGCCGUGCCUCCAUCUCUAUGCUGGAUUGGUCCUAGGACUCCCUGCAGAAGUCAAAAUCCAUGGAUGCUCAAGGUCAGUGUAUAAAAUGGUGUUGUAUAUGCAUACCCCGGUAUGGCCUCCCGUAUCCUUUAAGUCAUAUCUGCAUCAUUUAUAAUACCGCAGAAAAGAUAAUCAUGUUAUACUGUGCCUAGGUUACUUAUUAUACCUAGUACAGUAUAAAUGGUUCUUACAUGAUAUUGUUUAGGAACUGGUAAGAAAAAUGGUCUGUACUGUUCAGUACAGAUGCAGUUUUUAUUUUUAGAUAAUUUUUCAUCUAUGGUUGGUUGAAUCUAUGGAUGCAGAAGCCCAGAUAUGGAGGGCUAACUCUGCAAGCCAGCUCUCAUGGAGCUGAGUGACUUAACAUUUCAGUUAAAAAAAAAUGUUGCAUUUAGAAAUUUACAGGCCAUACUCUGAUAACCAUGGAGAGUGAAAAUUCAUUCGUGUAGUCAAUGAAUGUAUAUUGAACAUCUGUCCUAUGCAACCACUAGGAGUAGAAUGUAGACACAGUGUCUGUCCUCAAAAUUUCUAUUCUAAUGGGGAAUUUAAAGAGAGAUAAUAUUAUUUAAUUAAUACACAAUUAAUCAUUAGAAUUUUAGGAGUUGUGAAGGGGAUGGUCAAGGGUACUGUAGACAUUUGAGCUAUGUUCUUUUUUAAAAAAAUAUUUAUUUUAUUUAUUUGAAAGACAGAGUUACAGAGAGAGAGGUAGAGACAAAGAGAGAGGUUUUCCAUCCACUGGUUCACCCCCCCGGUGGCUGCAGUGGCCGGAGCUGUGCUGAUCCAAAGCCAGAAGCCAGGAGCUUCUUCCAGGUCUUGCAUGUGGGUACAAAGGCCCAGGACUUGGGCCAUCUUCUACUACUAUCCCAGGCCAUAGCAGAGAGGUGGAUCGGAAGAGGAGCAGCUGGGGACUAGAACCUGCAUCCUUAGGGGAUGCAGGCACUUCAAGUCAGGGCUUUCAUCCACUGCACAACAGCACCGGCCCCUUGAGCUAUGUUCUAAAGUUUUAAGCAUAGCCUAUUGGGGCACUCCAGCUAGGGAGGACAGUGUUUGCAAAGGUCCUGUGGCAAUGGAAGUAUGUUCCAUUGGAGAAUUUGGCCAGAAUGCAGUGUGUGAUGGCAGAAGUAACAAAGGUCUGGACUACACAGGGCAUGCUAAGUGUUUGACACUUUUUUCUGGAAGAAAUGAGAAGUCACUCAAGGGUUUUAGACAGAGUUCAGAGGUGCAGCCUUGGUGGUGGGUCGCUGGGCACUGGGGAGAGAGCUGGCUCAGGCUGAUCUGUGACAAGCAUUCCUGCACAAUGGUUGUGGUCACGAGCAACGCGUUCUGAUUCUGAUUGAUGUGCCUCUCUUAGACAAAGCUUUCAUUUUGCCGAUGAGUGAUCUGUCCAGUGUAUCCCUGAGUCCGCCCAAUUUUCUGCCUAGAGAAGGUUUCCAGUUUAACCCAUUUCUCAUUAUGAAAUGAUUGGAAAAGCAAGUCUUUGUUUACCUAUUACAACUGAAGGAAACGUUCUCCACAGAGAGACUGGGCCCAAUCUUGGGCCUGUAACUCAUGCCCUCUGAUCAUGAUUUGCAGUAAAUCCGCUGGGAUCCUCAGAGUGUCUCCCUAUUAAUCCUUGCUCUAGCCUUACAUCUUAACUUGGGAAAUCACGGAUCCCUUCACUUACUAAGAAAAACCAACAGACUAUAACAUGAGUAUAGUUUCAUCUGUUUGGAAGUGUUUGCAUCUUUGUGAAAUUUUAAUGGAAAUGGAAAUUCACUUUCCAGAAGAAAAAAUGUGAGUCAGAGGUUUUUGGAUGUCUGGCUUUCCCCCCAAACCCCUAUCUAGACAGCUAGGAUGUGUCCUGCUAGGGUUUUUGUUUAUGCUACUCUUAGGAUCAUAUGAAAUUCAAUUGUACCAUGAACUAUGCUUUAAAAAAAAAAAAAAAAAACUUACCUUUAAAAAAACCCAUGCAUGAGAAAGCUGAAUCUACAUUAGAUCGUUUGAGUUUCACACCAGAUCCAGCAAUGAUGGAAGACUGGGGGAACUUUUAAAACAUUUCUUCAGCAAUUACUGUUUGCCAGGCACAUGUGGGAGCUUUAGCUGUACCAUCUCUUUCUACCCUCGUAAUUAUCCCAGGAGCUGGCUACUGUUAACAUUUCCAUUCUGCACACAAUGAGAUGACUCAGGAAGGCCAGUGUGCUGCCUGGGAUGUGCUAGGACUGGGAUCUGUAGUCUGUGUAUAUACAACUCAAACACCCCCCUCUUGUUUUAAAAGUUUGAAAAAAAUAGUUAUUUGAGGAGAGAGGGUGGGGGGAGAGAAAGAGAGAGAGAAGGAGAGAGAGAGAAAGAUUGACAGAGGAACAAGCUCAUCUUCUGCUCUGCUCCCCAAAAUGCCCAUAAUGGCUGGCUCGGGCCAAAACUGGGAGUUGGGAACUGAAUUGGGGUCUCUUGUGUAGAUGGCAGGAACCCAAUCAUCACUCCUUCCUAGGUUCCCCACGAGCAGGAAGCUGGAGUCAGGAGCCAGGACUCAAACACUGCUACUCAGAUUUGGGACAUGGGCAUCCUAAUCAGUAUCUUCACCCACAGGCAAACGCCCAACCCAUCCUCUCUUUAUUUCUUACUUGAUAUGGACUGCAGUUGGAUUAAUUACCUAAAAUGCGUCAAUAACUAAGCCACCUUUGGCCAAGUGAAGCAAGGAUGGGCUUUGGCCUCAGAUAGUGGCCCCACCUGUCCCAUGUAUUGGUCACAAGGACCCAGUGAAGUACCAGUGAAGAAGUCAAGAAGAAAGCUGCAUCAGUACAGAAACCAGAGGUGGCACUGUCCUCCGGUCAGAAACUCACAGGAAUUUCUGACAGCGCAGAAGUCACAGGACGAGGUGGAGCAUCUCAAUGGAGCUAAGCAGGAGUUGCUUAGCCCAGCCCCUAAUUUGCAUUCGUGUUGGCAGGAAGUGGGAGAGGUGGCAGGACAGAAAAACUUCCCUGUUGGCCUCUGCCAUACCAGAGCCAGAUCCACAGCAGACUCCACUCAGCAGGGAGGGGCCCACUGGAGAAGCAGCCUUGGGGAUUAGACUGCAUGUGGAGAGGCCAUUUAAAAGCCACUGGGCAGAUUUGUUUUUCCUUUCCCCAUCUAUGAUGCCAAGAAGUAACAAAAUGCUACCUGCAGCAAACAUUUCAGUAAGAACCUGCAAUUCACUCAGAGUACAAACUGUUCCUCAGGAAGAUAGAUGGCCUGUUCUGAGGAAUGCAGCAUGUGUUUGUUUAUGGGCUUUGGAAUUAUCCGUUGGGCAGUCCACUGGUGGUUGUGAAACAGAAGGAACAAUGGUGCAAUAUUUGCAGAAAUUUGAUCCAUAAUUCUUUUUCCCUAUGUGUAAGGUCUGUCUCCUCCGCAUUGUGCAAGGCCCAGAUUUAAUGCCCAUUCUUCCAUAAAACCAUUACUUAUCUAUCAUUUCCUACCCUGUCCUGUUUUGCUCUUGCACCAGAAGUAGUAGCUCCAUUUUUUAUUUGCUUGUUUGAUGAUCAUUGUAGUGUAAGGUUGUUUUUUUUUUUUUUUUUUUCAAGAUUGAUUUAUUAUUUGAAAGGCAGAGUUACAGAGAAGCAGAAGCAGAAAGAAGGUCUUCCAUUUGCUGGUUCACUUCCCAGAUGGCUGCGACAGCCAGAGCUGUGCCGAUCCAAAGCCAGGAGCUUCUUCGUCUCUCACAUGAGUGCAGGGGCCCAAGGACUUGGGCCAUCCUCCACUGCUUUCCCAGGUCACAGUAAAGAGCUGGGUCGGAAGUGGAGCAGCCGGAUCUUGAACCGUCGCCCAUAUGGGAUUCCGGCACUGCAGGCAGCAGCUUUACCUGCUAUGCCACAGCACGGGCCCCUGUAGUUUUUGUUUGUUUGGUUUUUUUUUAUUUGUUUGUUUUUUAGAUUUUAUUUAUUUAUUUGAGAGGUAGGGUUACAGGCAGUGACAGGGAGAGACAGAGAGAGAGGUCUUCCAUCCCUUGGUUCACUCCCCAAGUGGCCACAAUGGCCGGAGCUGUGCUAGUGCAAAGCCAGGAGCCAGGUGGUUCUCCCUGAUCUCCCAUGUGGGCUCAGGGACCCAAGCACUGGGGCCAUCCUCCACUGCUUUCUCAGGCACAGCAGAGAGCUGGCUUAGAAGAGGAGCAGCCGGGACUAGAACUGGCGCCCAUAUGGGAUGCUGGCACCACAGGUGGAGGAUUAACCUACUGUGCCACGAUACUGGCCCCUGUAGUUUAAGUUUUAAAGUCAUAAUUGUGUAGAGUAAAAACAAAAUCACAUAACCAAAUGUUAGGAGGUACCCAGUGAAAAUAUGUCUGCCAGCCAUUCAACUCUCUCAGUUCUUCCCAGAGGCGUUUUCUGAUUUCAGUCUCUUGAAAUGUCUUUCCAAAGAUGGUGGUCUAUAUAGAUGAUGGCAAAUAAAAUUUCCUGUGCAUACUAUUUGACUUCUCUCUUGUUGAAUCAAGUCUGUGUCUUAGAAGAUAUUCUGUAUCAGACAUAUAGAUCCAUUUCAUUUAUUUUUACAGCUGUCUAACUUUAUAGUUCUGUCUCCCUGUUUUGAAUUACCGUGAUAUCUGCAUUGCCUCUGUGAGAGUACAGGUGUAUUCUCACCUUCACUGGAGACCUAGCGUCUGUUCAUAUACUGCCCUCUUUGCUGGUUUUCAGACUCAUUGAUGGCAAAGACUUCGUCACAUUUGUUUAGGGCUUAUUAUAAUCUUAAGGUCCACGUAUUCAAUAGCUAAGUUGUAAAACCCUGUCAAGGUGCCGUUUUGUCUCAGAUACCAUUUCACUCACAGUAGUGAGCCAUGCUCCAUUUCCCGGUCAUGAACUGGGACAGCUUCCUAGGAGUGUUCUUUGUUUGCAUCAGGCCAGAGAUGUCUAGAUGAUCAGAGACAGAAACGUGAAGAAGCAGUGUGGUUUCUGUCGACUCUCCUGAUAACAAUCGAAAGGAUUUAUUUCCUAUGAAACUUCGAUUAGAUUGUAGCUUCUUGACAGACUGCUGUAACCCACUGUGAGUGUUCAGCGCUUGUUUGCCUAGCACACAGCGGGAAGCUGAUGCCAGGUGACUGAAUAACACAGGAAGGCGCAGGCGUAGCUCAGUCUCAGUAGGAGAACACUGGGACCCGCACUGUGCUUCCUUUCUGUCUCCUCUCUUGCCGUGGAGAACAAGACUGCCCCCGAGUCUUCUUCCGGGAGUUUUCAUAUCACUGUAGUGAUGUAAGUUUGUCAGGAUAUUUUGAGGGCUUGGAGUGAAUGAUGCAGACACGUGUGCACAUUAUCACAUUCUGGGAAUAAAGAGCCAGAUUACAAAAUUCAGGAUCAAUAUGAUCCCAGCACUCAUCCACUUAUGCACACAGAGAAACAGUGCUGCACUGACAUGUCAAAAUAGUAAUCGUUUUAAAUUUAUGAAUCAUGGCAUUAGCAUUUAUUAUUCACUUUCUUCUGCGUUCUCUUCAGAAUGUUUACAGUGCUUCUGCACUCAUUUUAUCAUAAUAAAACUAUUCUGAGACAACACGGCAUGCUCUGUGAUUAUUUUCAGCUUAUUUGCUGUGUGUCUGGAAGAUAAUCUUAUCUCCCCAAGGGGAAUUAAGCAGUUGGGUGAGGAGGAGGCACAGUAACUCUUAUUUUAUUUGCAUGAUUGCAUUUUUGUUAGGUUCUUAGUUUUCAUCAUUUUCUGGGUGGACACAUUUAUUGCUCAAAUUUACCAUCUUUUAGUAAUCUAAGAUGCAGAAUUCUAGAAUGCAAAGCUUGGUGUGUAUGUGUGUGUGUGUGUGUAUAAAGUCAAUGAAAUACUGAUGACCUGAUUUUGCCUUCAAACUCCACACGUAUUUCCUAAGCCCCUUUACUAGAAAAUCCUGCAAGAGUUCAGGUCAUUCAUUUGUUACUGACCUUGAACAUGGCACAUCACUUUCCCUAAUGGAGACUUUGACUCCAGGACCCUGAGAGGCAACAGGUGAUGGUUCAAGCAGUUAGGUUCCUGCCACUCAUGUGGGGGGACCAGAUUGAGUUUCCAGCUCUUACUUUUUUAAAAAAUGAUUUUAUUUAUUUUUUGAGAGGAAGAGUUAUAGACAGGGAAACAGAGAGAAAGGUCUUCCAUUCUCUGGUUCACUCCCCAAAUGACUGCAAUGGCCAGAGCUAGACUGAUCCGAAGCCAGGAGCCAGGAGCUUCUUCCAGGUCUUCCACACAGGUACAGGGGCCCAAGCACUUGAAUCAUCUUCCACUGUUUUCCCAGGUGCAUUGUCAGGGAGCUGGAUCAGAAGUGGAGCAGCCAGGACUUGAACUGGUGCCCAGAUGGGAAGUCAGUGCUGCAGAAGGUGGCUUUACAACCUCUGCCACAGUGCCGGCCCUUCCAGCUCCCACUUUUGAUCUCCACUUGGCUCCGGUCAUUACUGAUAUUUGGGUAGUGAACCAGUAUAUUAGAGCUCUUUGUCUUCUUUUGGUUCUGUCUGCCAAAUAUAUAAACAAAUAAAAAAUGGGACUAAAUAAGUUUUUAAAAAAUUUUUGCCAUCUAUUAAAUAUAAAGUUGAUGCCACUUUAGAAUAGCUGGAUUAUGAAUGUUACCAAACUUCCCUCCGUGGGUCUGUGUCUCAUCUCCAAGUAACUGAGAGGUAGGGACAGGGUUUGCCUCUGCACUGAAGUCAGGAGGAGCUCCAGUGGCCACAGCUGCUCAUGGCCCUGCCACUGCUGUCAAUCAGAGCUCCACAGUAGGGACUUCACCAUAUGGAGCCAAUUAAAGAAAUUCAGGAAAGUGAACAGCUGUCAAGAGGCCCAAAGAUAAGAUAUUUGCAUUAUUAUGUGAAGAGACAAGUCUUAUGGAGGUAUUGUUUGGAAAUGUGCUUUCUGGUGAGCUCCAGAAACUUUAUCUCCCUUCAUGAUAUUAAAAAGGGAAAGGAGUCUGGCAGAAGGUCUUAUGUCAUUUAUUUUUCCUGUCAAGGAGAAUUCUAAGAUAGGCAUUUUCUAGUAAAUGUUCCUUGUUUGCAAUAAUUGCUUUCCUGGCAUUGUGAUGUAAUGCUGCCAUUUCCUUUUAUCUAAGCCGCAUAUAUGUCAAUAUCUGACCAUUCAAGCCAUUGUAACAAGAAACACAAAAAGAAAUAGCAUUGGCUGAUUUCCUGAGAUGUUGGGAUGGCUGCUGCCAGUUACAGCCACAGGUUGGGAGACAUCUCGAGAAAGAGCAAGGGAAUCUGUCCCUGGAACCUGAUCUGUUCUAUUGCAAUGCGCUGGAAUGCCAGCUCUAGCCCAGGCUGUGUUCCCAUGCCCCGACAGACUUGGCUGUCACUCUCGAGUGAUGAUGGCAAAUACAUAUGUGCAGUGGCUUACCAACAGCAGAAAUAGGGACGAGCCAUCAGUCAUCUUACAGAAGGCCCAAAAGAGAAGUGACAGGAACUGCACAUCCAGAUUUUGUCAGGGAAUAAUCCACCACAGUGUCUGAGUCAGAACUGGAUCACGUGGGUCUAGAUGGUAGACGCUCAGGACUUCAGAAGGUCAUAGGGCACUUGGCGUCGUAGGGGUUCCCACUGAGAGUGGAACAUUGGAGGGAUCAUAAAAGAAGUGCAGUGGAUAAUUGGCUUCAGUUAUUUCUAAUGAAUGGUAAUAAGCUAUUGAUAGUGGGGGACCUUUUCUCCAUCAUACAUAGGGCACACGCUACACAGAACCUCAUCAGUUCCUGCCACUGUAUGUGGUCACCAUUACUGUUGUGCUCUUCUGCAGAUGGAAAAUGGAGCCUUGAGUUUUUGAGAAUUUGUCCAGGCUCACCUCGAGUCAGGGAAUGGCCAGGCGUUCAGCCAGGUGUGAGGCUGACAGCCAUGACCUUCACCCACCAUGCUGGUUGCCUUGUCUGGACCCACUAUGUAGUGACAGGAUGCCUAUAGGUUCUGGAGUGUGUGUUAAUAAAGACAGAAACACUGUUUUUGUACAAAAUAACUUCUUAUGUAACAUGCUAAACUGUACCUCCCUGCCUUUGGAUUCCAAGACACAGGGUUUCAUGACAAAAAUCUACAAAACAAUCAAUAAAUGCUUUAUUUGAAUUAUAAUUCUACUUUGGCUCAAGUGGCAUAAUGGUAUCAAAGGAAAUGUUAUGCUCUGAGUUUGUAUUGCACUUGUGAGAGCUGUUCUCCCUAGUGCUGCUAAGUUUUGAAAAAUGAACGUUAAAUUUAGACCUCAGGAUUCUUUGUCUCCCCAAGGAAGAAAAAAUAUUGGAGUGACAGAAAAGAUAUUCCUUCCCUGGAAUCAAAGUUGUUAUGAUGUUGAAAAAUAGGUGUUUGUGAGUUUCCUAGUCUUGGAGAAAUAGAACUUACAGGUAGAAUUCCAGUAUCCUAGAUCCUUUGGCAUUUUCUCCCUAUGUCACAAAAUGCACUUGAGGACCCCAAUUAAGUUUUUUUUUUUUUUCAAAUAAAGACAUACAUAGCUUAAUUUAUUUGAAAGGCAGACUUCCAGAGAGAGAGGGAGAGAAAGAAAGGUCUUUGAUCUACUGAUUGACUCCCCAGAUGACCUUAACAGCUAGAGCUGGGCUUGUGCAAAGCCAGGAGCUUCAUCCAGGUCUCCCAUAUGGGUGGCAGGGUCCCAAGCAUUUGGGCCUAUUUUGGUUGCUUUCCCAGGCACAUUGGCAGGAAGCUGGGUUGGAAGUGGAGCAACCUGGACACAAACCUGCACCCAUGUGGGUGCCUGUGUCACAAGCAGCAGCUUGAUCCACUGUGCCACAAUGCUGGUGGGACCCAUUUUUAAAGGUGUUAAGAAACUGUAUUUUUCUAUAUAAGUUUUACCCCUCAGUGUCUCUUCAAAAGUAUUUUUUAAAGGUUAGGCUUCUCACAAGGAGUCAAGGCAAAAAUUUCUUAAUUUCUUUGUUUAGUCAUUAGAUUAAGGAUGAGGUGUGCUAGUAUUGGCUUGAUUCUUUUGAGUAGGAGAUAUGUGACAUGCUUGGCAAAGAUGUUUUGUACCAAUGUGGAGCGAAGUGGCAAGUGAUUUGCCUUUUAAGACUGAGAUUGUUUGGAAGUGGUAAGUCUGCGAUAUUUGGAAGAAAAUGCUGGAGGGGUGGGUUUUUCCGCGUGUCUCAGAGCCUUCAUUUCCUCCCCUGGAAGAGCAGGGUAAGUAGGAAAUGCGUGCCAGCUGCAGACAUGAAGCCCUGAGCCGCCUUCCACUCAACCCUGGGCCCUUCCUCAAGAUUUCUGUUCCUGCAGCCCUGGGAGGCAGCUCUCCAGGGUCACCCCGGGGUGUGCAGCCUCAGGGCUCCCUACGGACCCUUCUGUGCCAUUUCCCACACCCUCCUGGCAUGUGAGCACCAGAUGUUUGUCCCCUGAGCCCUGUGACACUCAGACUCCUCAUUUCUUGAUUCCCAAACGCCUCCCCACCACCAUUGUUCUUUCCGAAUGAGUCCGGUGGUGUCGUGUACAAGUUGCGCAGUUGCCUGACCCCUCAGCUCCGUGAACUCCUCUGUCCUCUCUGUCCUGCCCCAGACUGCUGUUGGGUUCCUUGUGUCAUCUAAAACUGUUUACUAGAGGUAGGGACUGACCAUGACUCCUAUUUCGGAUUUCCUCUCCUCUCUGUCUCCAGCUGAUUCCAGCCAUCUUAUCUUUCCCACUGCUUUUAGCAACUGACUCCAACUCUUGCCUCAUGGAAAACUCAAAGCCACCAUGUGGGAAACACUCUCAAUUUCACAACACUAAAUCUCCAGACUUACCUGCACCUGCCUUCACUUCACCUCCCUUUCUCAUGCCUCCCCUCAGGUAGGCCUGCAGCUUGUCCUGUUUGUCCUGUCGAGGGGCGAUAAAUACUACAAAGAAAUAUCAAAAGCAUAAGGGGUUAAGGAAUGCAGCAAGGAGGGACUUUGGAAAAGUGGAGGAAGCCUCCCUAAAACUCAGAAAGGAUUCCCACUGAGUCUCUCUAAGAAUGGCUCCCAGGUAGAAAGUUGAAGAACCCCAUGCUCGGGACCCUAGCUCUCUUCUCUGCCUUAUUCUCUGUGCCUUAGUCUGGCUGAACUUAUUUUCUAUAUUUCCCAGUGCCUAAGACUACCCCAGGGCCUUUACACAUGCUCCUGCUGCUUUCCACAUCUUUUUUCUUCCAUCUUCCUCUGCUCAGGUUCUUUCUCCUCCUCUUUUCUUUUUCAGUACUUGGGACACUCUUCUCUCCCCUAACUGGACGUAGUAUUUCAUAAUCUGCAGAUCCAGGCUGACCCCACUUCCUUUGAGAAAACUUUCCUGGGCUCCAGACCAGAUGAAACCCUGUUAUCAUCUCUGUUAUUAUGUAUUCUUAUUUAUCACACUGUUAGUUGUUUUUUGUAUUGUAU
Non-coding RNA from Oryctolagus cuniculus (rabbit), 11569 nucleotides. The record is from RefSeq and is a predicted model, not a curated record. Lineage: Eukaryota; Metazoa; Chordata; Mammalia; Lagomorpha; Leporidae.